This 431-nucleotide ribosomal RNA is filed under the name uncultured bacterium. RNAcentral describes it as "partial 16S ribosomal RNA". It matches the Rfam family "Bacterial small subunit ribosomal RNA", at positions 29 to 507 of the family's 1533-position model. The record is from RNAcentral.
AACGAACGCUGGCGGCAGGCCUAACACAUGCAAGUCGAGCGCGCCUUCGGGUGAGCGGCGGCCGGGUGAGUAACGCGUGGGAAUAUGCCCUUCUCUACGGAAUAGUCCUGGGAAACUGGGGGUAAUACCGUAUACGCCCUUUGGGGGAAAGAUUUAUCGGGGAAGGAUUAGCCCGCGUUGGAUUAGGUAGUUGGUGGGGUAAUGGCCUACCAAGCCGACGAUCCAUAGCUGGUUUGAGAGGAUGAUCAGCCACACUGGGACUGAGACACGGCCCAGACUCCUACGGGAGGCAGCAGUGGGGAAUCUUGGACAAUGGGGGCAACCCUGAUCUAGCCAUGCCGCGUGAGUGAUGAAGGCCUUAGGGUUGUAAAGCUCUUUCAGCUGGGAAGAUAAUGACGGUACCAGCAGAAGAAGCCCCGGCUAACUCCGUG